GAUAAUGCCAGUGAUUAGUGGUGAUAUUAAUAAGAGGUAAUGUGUGGUGACUCCCCCCUCAUCACUCGUAAAUUCAGACACAAUAAUAACUGUCAUCACAACAACAAUAAAAAGAAGAUAUAUAUUCAGGCGCGCAAAUUUCUGAAGGUAAUUUAUGUUUUUGAGAGAGAGAGAGAGAGAGAGAGAGAGAGAGAGAGAGAGAGAUAGACUGACAUUUAUCUCUAACUUGGUUUUGCUUUUAGGUGUGAUACCAUGAGAGAGAGAGAGAGAGAGAGAGAGAGAGAGAGAGAGAGAGAGAGAGAGAGGAACGUCCGGGCUUAGUUAUUUCAUUCCAGUCUGAUGUUGUCACGAGAGAGAGAGAGAGAGAGAGAGAGAGAGAGAGAGAGAGAGAGAGAGAGAGAGAGAGAGAGAGAGAGAGAGAGAGAGAGAGAGAGAGAGAGAGAGAGAGAGAGAGAGAGAGAGAGAGAGAGAGAGAGCGGGAACAGGCGUAAGUUGCAAUGUGAGGUAAGAAAGAAAGAAUGGGGAGAGGGGGAGGGAGAGAGGGAAGAAAGAAGGGAGUGAGGGAGGGAGGGAGGAAGGGAGGGGGAGAGUGAGGGAAAGAGGGAGUGAGAGGCAAAAGGAGGAUAGCAGGUUGAAGGAGCCCCAACCGGACAUUAGGGCGGGGCAUGGAGAGAGAGAGAGAGAGAGAGAGAGAGAGAGAGAGAGAGAGAGAGAGAGA
Portunus trituberculatus (swimming crab) is the source of this 718-nucleotide long non-coding RNA. RefSeq lists it as uncharacterized. The record is from RefSeq and is a predicted model, not a curated record. NCBI's taxonomy places the organism in Eukaryota, Metazoa, Arthropoda, Malacostraca, Decapoda, Portunidae. The transcript has 2 exons.